UUCGACCUGUACUCAGACAUGAUUACCCGCUGAACUUAAGCAUAUCAGUAGCGGAGGAAAAGAAACUAACAAGGAUUCCCUUAGUAACGGCGAGUGAAA
RNAcentral lists this ribosomal RNA (99 nucleotides) under Ditylenchus arachis. Its description in RNAcentral is "partial 28S ribosomal RNA". It matches the Rfam family "Eukaryotic large subunit ribosomal RNA", at positions 1 to 98 of the family's 3401-position model. Lineage: Eukaryota; Metazoa; Nematoda; Chromadorea; Rhabditida; Anguinidae. The record is from RNAcentral.